AGAGUUUGAUCAUGGCUCAGAGUGAACGCUGGCGGCGUGCCUAACACAUGCAAGUCGAACGAGAACGGAUAUAAGUUUACUUAUAUUGUCAGCUAAGUGGCGCACGGGUGAGUAAUAUAUAGUUAAUCUGCCCUGAAGAAGAGAAUAAUUGUUGGAAACGACUUGUAAUGCUCUAUAUGCCUUUAUCACAUAAGUGAGCAAGGGAAAUAUUUAUAGCUUCGGGAUGAGACUGUACGGUAUCAGCUAGUUGGUGAGGUAAUGGCUCACCAAGGCUAUGACAUCUAACUGGUUUGAGAGGAUGAUCAGUCACACUGGAACUGAGACACGGUCCAGACUCCUACGGGAGGCAGCAGUGGGGAAUAUUGCACAAUGGAGGGAACUCUGAUGCAGCAACGCCGCGUGGAGGAUGACACAUUUCGGUGCGUAAACUCCUUUUAUAUGAGAAGAUAAUGACGGUAUCAUAUGAAUAAGCACCGGCUAACUCCGUGCCAGCAGCCGCGGUAAUACGGGGGGUGCAAGCGUUACUCGGAAUCACUGGGCGUAAAGAGCAUGUAGGCUGUAGAUUAAGUUGGAAGUGAAAUCCUAUGGCUCAA
Molecule: ribosomal RNA, 593 nt
Filed under: uncultured bacterium
Lineage: Bacteria
Description: bacterial SSU rRNA
Rfam family: Bacterial small subunit ribosomal RNA
Source: RNAcentral